GUUAUAUAGUCAAGUGACAAAGUGCAUACGGUGGAUGCCUUGGCAGUCAGAGGCGACGAAAGACGUGAUAGCCUGCGAAAAGCUUCGGGGAGGUGGCAAUGUACCUUUGAUCCGGAGAUGUCUGAAUGGGGAAACCCACUUAUCGUAAGAUAGGUAUCACAUACUGAAUACAUAGGUAUGUGAGGCGAACGAGGGGAAGUGAAACAUCUCAGUACCCUCAGGAAAAGAAAUCAAUUGAGAUUCCCUGAGUAGCGGCGAGCGAAAAGGGAGCAGCCCUUAAGUUAAUUAUGCUUUAGUGGAACAGUCUGGAAAGUCUGGCCAUAGUAGGUGAUAGCCCCGUACACGAAAGGGCAUAGUUAAUGAAAACGAGUAGGACGGGACACGUGAAAUCCUGUUUGAAGAUGGGGGGACCAUCCUCCAAGGCUAAAUACUCCUGACUGACCGAUAGUGAACAAGUACCGUGAGGGAAAGGCGAAAAGAACCGUGGUGAACGGAGUGAAAUAGAACCUGAAACCGUAUGCAUACAAGCAGUAGGAGCACCUUUGUGGUGUGACUGCGUACCUUUUGUAUAAUGGGUCAGCGACUUAUUCUCAGUAGCAAGGUUAACCGUGUAGGGGAGCCGUAGAGAAAUCGAGUCUGAAUAGGGCGUUAAGUUGCUGGGAGUAGACCCGAAACCGGGUGAUCUAUCCAUGAGCAGGGUGAAGGUUCAGUAACAUGAACUGGAGGCCCGAACCCACCGUCGUUGAAAAGCCGGGGGAUGACUUGUGGAUAGGGGUGAAAGGCUAAUCAAACUCGGUGAUAGCUGGUUCUCCCCGAAAGCUAUUUAGGUAGCGCCUCGGACGAAUACCAUUGGGGGUAGAGCACUGUUUCGGCUAGCGGGUCAUCCCGACUUAGCAAACCGAUGCAAACUCCGAAUACCAAUGAGUACUAUCCGGGAGACAGACGGUGGGUGCUAAUGUCCAUCGUCAAGAGGGAAACAACCCAGACCGCCAGCUAAGGCCCCAAAUUUCUAGUUAAGUGGGAAACGAUGUGGGAAGGCAUAGACAGCUAGGAGGUUGGCUUAGAAGCAGCCACCCUUUAAAGAAAGCGUAAUAGCUCACUAGUCGAGUCGGCCUGCGCGGAAGAUGUAACGGGGCUAAAACUAGAAGCCGAAGCUGCGGAUGCGUAUUUUAUACGCGUGGUAGGGGAGCGUUCUGUAAGUCUGCGAAGGUGUGUUGAGAAGCAUGCUGGAGAUAUCAGAAGUGCGAAUGCUGACGUGAGUAACGACAAGGGGAGUGAAAAACUUCCCCGCCGGAAGACCAAGGGUUCCUGCGCAACGUUAAUCGGCGCAGGGUGAGUCGACCCCUAAGGCGAGGCUGAGAAGCGUAGUCGAUGGGAAACAGGUUAAUAUUCCUGUACCUCUUACUGAUGCGAUGGAGGGACGGAGAAGGCUAUAUCUACCAGCGAUUGGUUGUGCUGGGGAAAGGUUGUAGGCAUGUGUCUUAGGCAAAUCCGGGACACUCUAUGCUGAGAACUGAGACGAACCUAUACUUGUAUGGGGAAGUGAUAGAUGCCAUGCUUCCAAGAAAAGCUCCUAAGCUUCAGUCAGUAAGGGAUCGUACCCGAAACCGACACAGGUGGUCAGGUCGAGAAGACCAAGGCGCUUGAGAGAACUCUGGUGAAGGAACUAGGCAAAAUAGUACCGUAACUUCGGGAGAAGGUACGCUGCUGAUUGUGAAGUCUUUACGAUGUAAGCGAUUGGCAGCCUCAGAAACUAGGCCGCUGCAACUGUUUAUUAAAAACAUAGCACUCUGCAAACACGAAAGUGGACGUAUAGGGUGUGAUGCCUGCCCGGUGCUGGAAGGUUAAUUGAUGGGGUUAGCGAAAGCGAAGCUCUUGAUCGAAGCCCCAGUAAACGGCGGCCGUAACUAUAACGGUCCUAAGGUAGCGAAAUUCCUUGUCGGGUAAGUUCCGACCUGCACGAAUGGCAUAAUGAUGGCGGCGCUGUCUCCACCAGAGACUCAGUGAAAUCGAAAUCGCGGUGAAGAUGCCGUGUACCCGCGGCUAGACGGAAAGACCCCGUGAACCUUUACUGCAGCUUUGCACUGAACUUUGAUCUUACUUGUGUAGGAUAGGUGGGAGGCUUUGAAGUCAGGACGCCAGUUCUGAUGGAGCCAUCCUUGAAAUACCACCCUGGUAAUAUUGAGGUUCUAACCCAGGUCCGUUAUCCGGAUCGGGGACAGUGUAUGGUGGGUAGUUUGACUGGGGCGGUCUCCUCCUAAAGAGUAACGGAGGAGUACGAAGGUGCGCUCAGCGUGGUCGGAAAUCACGCACUGAGUAUAAAGGCAAAAGCGCGCUUAACUGCGAGACCCACAAGUCGAGCAGGUACGAAAGUAGGUCUUAGUGAUCCGGUGGUUCUGUAUGGAAGGGCCAUCGCUCAACGGAUAAAAGGUACUCUGGGGAUAACAGGCUGAUACCGCCCAAGAGUUCAUAUCGACGGCGGUGUUUGGCACCUCGAUGUCGGCUCAUCUCAUCCUGGGGCUGAAGCAGGUCCCAAGGGUAUGGCUGUUCGCCAUUUAAAGAGGUACGCGAGCUGGGUUUAGAACGUCGUGAGACAGUUCGGUCCCUAUCUACCGUGGGCGUUGGAGACUUGAGAGGAUCUGCUUCUAGUACGAGAGGACCGAAGUGGACGAACCUCUGGUGUUCCGGUUGUCACGCCAGUGGCACUGCCGGGUAGCUAUGUUCGGAAGGGAUAAGUGCUGAAAGCAUCUAAGCACGAAGCCUACCUCAAGAUAAGGUCUCCCUGAGGGUUUAACCCUCCUAAAGAGCCGUUAGAGACCAUGACGUUGAUAGGUUCGGUGUGGAAGCGCGGUGACGCGUGAAGCUAACGAAUACUAAUUGCUCGUGAGGCUUGACUAUAUAACACCAAAACAGUU
Molecule: ribosomal RNA, 2915 nt
Filed under: Moraxellaceae bacterium
Lineage: Bacteria; Pseudomonadati; Pseudomonadota; Gammaproteobacteria; Moraxellales; Moraxellaceae
Description: 23S ribosomal RNA
Rfam family: Bacterial large subunit ribosomal RNA
Source: RNAcentral